CGGCGUACGGGUGCGGAACACGUGUGCAACCUGCCUUUAUCAGGGGGAUAGCCUUUCGAAAGGAAGAUUAAUACCCCAUAAUAUAUUAAGUGGCAUCACUUGAUAUUGAAAACUCCGGUGGAUAGAGAUGGGCACGCGCAAGAUUAGAUAGUUGGUAGGGUAACGGCCUACCAAGUCAGUGAUCUUUAGGGGGCCUGAGAGGGUGAUCCCCCACACUGGUACUGAGACACGGACCAGACUCCUACGGGAGGCAGCAGUGAGGAAUAUUGGACAAUGGGUGAGAGCCUGAUCCAGCCAUCCCGCGUGAAGGACGACGGCCCUAUGGGUUGUAAACUUCUUUUGUAUAGGGAUAAACCUUUCCACGUGUGGAAAGCUGAAGGUACUAUACGAAUAAGCACCGGCUAACUCCGUGCCAGCAGCCGCGGUAAUACGGAGGGUGCAAGCGUUAUCCGGAUUUAUUGGGUUUAAAGGGUCCGUAGGCGGAUCUGUAAGUCAGUGGUGAAAUCUCACAGCUUAACUGUGAAACUGCCAUUGAUACUGCAGGUCUUGAGUAAAGUAGAAGUGGCUGGAAUAAGUAGUGUAGCGGUGAAAUGCAUAGAUAUUACUUAGAACACCAAUUGCGAAGGCAGGUCACUAUGUUUUAACUGACGCUGAUGGACGAAAGCGUGGGGAGCGAACAGGAUUAGAUACCCUGGUAGUCCACGCCGUAAACGAUGCUAACUCGUUUUUGGGGCUUCGGCUUCAGAGACUAAGCGAAAGUGAUAAGUUAGCCACCUGGGGAGUACGUUCGCAAGAAUGAAACUCAAAGGAAUUGACGGGGGCCCGCAACAAGCGGUGGAUUAUGUGGUUUAAUUCGAUGAUACGCGAGGAACCUUACCAAGGCUUAAAUGGGAAUUGAUCGGUUUAGAAAUAGACCUUCCUUCGGGCAAUUUUCAAGGUGCUGCAUGGUUGUCGUCAGCUCGUGCCGUGAGGUGUUAGGUUAAGUCCUGCAACGAGCGCAACCCCUGUCACUAGUUGCCAUCAUUAAGUUGGGGACUCUAGUGAGACUGCCUACGCAAGUAGAGAGGAAGGUGGGGAUGACGUCAAAUCAUCACGGCCCUUACGCCUUGGGCCACACACGUAAUACAAUGGCCGGUACAGAGGGCAGCUACACAGCGAUGUGAUGCAAAUCUCGAAAGCCGGUCUCAGUUCGGAUUGGAGUCUGCAACUCGACUCUAUGAAGCUGGAAUCGCUAGUAAUCGCGCAUCAGCCAUGGCGCGGUGAAUACGUUCCCGGGCCUUGUACACACCGCCCGUCAAGCCAUGGAAGUCUGGGUACCUGAAGUCGGUGACCGUAAAAGGAGCUGCCUAGGGUAAACAGGUAACUAGGGCUAAGUCGUAACAAGGUAGCCGUACCGGAAGGGUG
This 1404-nucleotide ribosomal RNA is filed under the name uncultured Bacteroidota bacterium. RNAcentral describes it as "bacterial SSU rRNA". It matches the Rfam family "Bacterial small subunit ribosomal RNA". Lineage: Bacteria; Pseudomonadati; Bacteroidota. The record is from RNAcentral.